This 305-nucleotide ribosomal RNA is filed under the name uncultured bacterium. RNAcentral describes it as "bacterial SSU rRNA". It matches the Rfam family "Bacterial small subunit ribosomal RNA", at positions 333 to 653 of the family's 1533-position model. The record is from RNAcentral.
AGUGUCCUACGGGGGGCAGCAGUGGGGAAUAUUGGGCAAUGGACGCAAGUCUGACCCAGCAACGCCGCGUGAAGGAAGAAGGCUUUCGGGUUGUAAACUUCUUUUAAGGGGGAAGAGCAGAAGACGGUACCCCUUGAAUAAGCCACGGCUAACUACGUGCCAGCAGCCGCGGUAAUACGUAGGUGGCAAGCGUUGUCCGGAUUUACUGGGUGUAAAGGGCGUGCAGCCGGAGAGGCAAGUCAGAUGUGAAAUCCGCGGGCUCAACUCGCGAACUGCAUUUGAAACUGCUUCCCUUGAGUAUCGGG